RNAcentral lists this ribosomal RNA (754 nucleotides) under Rutpela maculata. RNAcentral describes it as "Leptura maculata partial large subunit ribosomal RNA". It matches the Rfam family "Eukaryotic large subunit ribosomal RNA", at positions 70 to 658 of the family's 3401-position model. Lineage: Eukaryota; Metazoa; Arthropoda; Insecta; Coleoptera; Cerambycidae. The record is from RNAcentral.
UAGGAUUCCCUCAGUAGCUGCGAGCGAACAGGGAAGAGCCCAGCACCGAAUCCCGCGGCCGAUAACGGGCGCCGGGAAAUGUGGUGUUAGGGAGGAUCCGUUCAUCCCGAGGUCGUGCGGUGCGUCCAAGUCCUUCUUGAACGGGGCCACAGCCCAUAGAGGGUGCCAGGCCCGUAGUGACCGCUGCCGAUCGCGGGAGGAUCUCUCCUCAGAGUCGGGUUGCUUGAGAGUGCAGCCCUAAGUGGGUGGUAAACUCCAUCUAAGGCUAAAUAUGACCACGAGACCGAUAGCGAACAAGUACCGUGAGGGAAAGUUGAAAAGCACUUUGAAGAGAGAGUUCAAGAGUACGUGAAACCGUUCAGGGGUAAACCUGAGAAACCCGAAAGGUCGAAAGGGGAAAUUCAUUCGCGUUUUACGCGUCGUCCGCGCCUUCCUUUCUUCGAACCUACGUCGAACGCGUGCACUUUUCCCCUAGUAGGACGUCGCGAUCCGUUGGGCGUCGGUCCUUGCGGUGGAGCCCGCGCGGACGUUUCGCUCGGACCCGCAGUGUCCCGGCCGACUCGCUCGACGGUAUACAGAUGGCGAGGGGCCGCUACUCAGUUAGCGUUCGGCCUGCGGCAAGCGCGUUCGUGACGGCGAUCGGACCUGGUGCCGGUCCUGUCCCCGAACGACUGUUGGCCGUUCUCGAACAGACCUCAUUGAAACGCCGAUCUGCGACGCUAUAGCUUUGGGUACUUUCAGGACCCGUCUUGAA